RNAcentral lists this unclassified non-coding RNA (2130 nucleotides) under uncultured fungus. Its description in RNAcentral is "sequence contains 18S rRNA gene, ITS1, 5.8S rRNA gene, ITS2, 28S rRNA gene". The stretch from base 1034 to 2130 matches the Rfam family "Eukaryotic large subunit ribosomal RNA", at positions 1 to 961 of the family's 3401-position model. The record is from RNAcentral. Lineage: Eukaryota; Fungi.
GGAGGGAUCAUUAAACAAAACACCCAAAGUCUGCAGUGCGCCCCCAAAAAGGGGUGUGCUGCAGCAGACAGACACUGGUAUGACUAAAUGUGACUAUAGAAUUUUCUAAACCAUUAAAUCAGUGACACCAACCAUAUGUGUUAGGUGGAGUCAUGAGGUGAACACCAUGAAGUGUGAUGUGAGCUACAGAGUCGUUGUCCAUGCAAGGAUUAGUAACUGUGAUGUACUUUGCAGUGAAAAACCCUUUGUGUGGCCAGCUCUCUUCACAACAUACAGACUGGUAAGUACCCAAAUGGCACUACUUGACAUACUUGUGAGGUGUUGCACCCUGUGACACAGAUCAAUGUGUUGGUGCAGGUCGUGAGGUGAACACUACAAUGUGUGAUGUGAGCUACAGAGUAGUUGUCUAUAUACAGGGACUAGUAACUGUGAUGUACUUCGCAGUGAAAAACCCUUUGUGUGGCCAGCUCUCUUCGCAACAUACAGGCUAGUAAGUAACAGAAUGACCAUACUGACACCACUUGUGAAGUGUUGUAAAAAAACAAUAAAUUAUACAACUCUCAGCGAUGGAUCCCUAGGCUCCUCUAUCGAUGAAGAGCACAGCGAAAUGUGAUAAGUAAUACGAAUUGCAGAAUACAGUGAGUCAUCGAAAUCUUGAACGCAUUGCACCGUCGGGGUAACCUGGCGGUAUGCCCCAUUGAGUGUCAUUUUUCAAUAAGCAAAGCAUUCACAAAAAUAAUUGUGGAAGCGCAUCGACCCGCACCACAAGGUGGUAGGUUGGUGGACUUGGAUUUCAGCGAACCAUUUGGUUGGUGAGUUGACUUCUUAAAUUAUAAAAGGACCACACUAUAACAGUUGGUGAAGUGGAGCAUUGACUCCACAACAGGCUUCGUCUAGAUGAGCAUUUAUUGCAUCAACCUGACUUAGCAAUCUGUCUGACUCGAGUAUGUGAGGUUCUCUCUAUUGAGAAAAAUAAACACUUCCUCAGUUUGUAGUAGUGCCUUGAAAAAAAAGGGUACACAAAACAACACUAUGACCUCAAUUGGGACAUGACUACUUGCUGAACUUAAGCAUAUCAAUAAGCAAAGGAAAAGAAAUUAACAAAGAUUCCCUCAGUAACUGCGAGUGAAGCGGGAAUAGCUCAAUCUCUAAUCUGCCGUGGACAUCUGCGGCCGAAUUGUAGUUUUGUGAUCAGCUUCAAGUCCUGACACGGGAUCUAAGUCUCCUGGAACGGAGCACCAAAGAAGGUGAUAGUCCUGUGAGAUCCUGUGGAUGGGGCAUAUGUUGCUGUAUCAACGAGUCGAGUUGUUUUGUAGUACAGCUCAAAAUGGGUGGUAUGUUCCAUCUAAAGCUAAAUAUCAGAGAGGAGACCGAUAGCAAACAAGUACCGUGAGGGAAAGGUGAAAAGAACCUUGAAAAGAGGGUGAAAAGUGCGUGAAAUUGCUGAGAGGGAAGCAGACACACUCAUUAUUGCUGUGUCCAAAUCAAUUGUCACUGGGCAGCGUGGUGGUGUAAGGAUGGACAUUAUUGUUCACCAAGCAUUAUCAUUAAGUUCUGUGGCAGUGCACUUUGGAUGUGGCAACCACCGGCCCUGCGACUUGGAGGAUAAAGCCUUGUGCUUGGAAGCAGCAUUUGCUGUGAAGGCAUGGGGUGGGACUUUAGGUUUCAUGGACGAACUGAGCGGCAUUAUCUGGCCUGGUUGGGGCAGUGUAGGUGCUAGUGCUAAGACAAGGCAACUUGUCCGGUGCUGGUGUUGAAUCUCGCUUCAGCUGGUGCAGAUGUCGCGCAUGGUGGGAUAUUUGGGUGCGUCCGUCCCGUCUUGAAACACGGACCAAGGAGUUUAACUUGUAUGCAAGUGCGAGAGUUUAAAACUUUUGCGCGAAGUGAAAGCAAUUGUGGGAAAGGAGCUGAGAGUAGGCCCUUGCACCACAGACCGAUCUAGAGACAUGUCAAAGGAUUCGAGUUGGAGCAUAUAAGUUAAGACCCGAAAGAUUACGAACUAUACUUGUGUAGAACGAAGCCAGAAGAAAUCCUGGUGGAAGUUCGAAACGGUUCUGACGUGCAAAUCGAUCGUCAAACAUGAGCAUAGCGGCGAAAGACUAAUCGAGUAAUCUAGUAGCUGGUUCCUUC